RNAcentral lists this ribosomal RNA (169 nucleotides) under uncultured marine bacterium. Its description in RNAcentral is "partial 16S ribosomal RNA". It matches the Rfam family "Bacterial small subunit ribosomal RNA", at positions 338 to 524 of the family's 1533-position model. The record is from RNAcentral.
CCUACGGGAGGCAGCAGUAGGGAAUAUUGGACAAUGGGGGAAACCCUGAUCCAGCAAUGCCGCGUGAGUGAAGAAGGCCUUCGGGUUGUAAAGCUCUUUCAUCAAUGAUGAUAAUGAUAUUAGUUGAAGAAGAAGCCCCGGCUAACUUCGUGCCAGCAGCCGCGGUAAU